GCUCGAGUGGCGAACGGGUGAGUAACACAUGAGUAACCUGCCCUUGACUUUGGGAUAACUUCAGGAAACUGGGGCUAAUACCGGAUAGGAGCUCCUGCUGCAUGGUGGGGGUUGGAAAGUUUCGGCGGUUGGGGAUGGACUCGCGGCUUAUCAGCUUGUUGGUGGGGUAGUGGCUUACCAAGGCUUUGACGGGUAGCCGGCCUGAGAGGGUGACCGGCCACAUUGGGACUGAGAUACGGCCCAG
This 244-nucleotide ribosomal RNA is filed under the name uncultured Actinomycetales bacterium. Its description in RNAcentral is "partial 16S ribosomal RNA". It matches the Rfam family "Bacterial small subunit ribosomal RNA", at positions 89 to 334 of the family's 1533-position model. Lineage: Bacteria; Bacillati; Actinomycetota; Actinomycetes; Actinomycetales. The record is from RNAcentral.